GACGAACGCUGGCGGCGUGCUUAACACAUGCAAGUCGAACGGAAAGGCCCUGCUUUUGUGGGGUGCUCGAGUGGCGAACGGGUGAGUAACACGUGAGUAACCUGCCCUUGACUUUGGGAUAACUUCAGGAAACUGGGGCUAAUACCGGAUAUGAGCUCCUGCUGCAUGGUGGGGGUUGGAAAGUUUCGGCGGUUGGGGAUGGACUCGCGGCUUAUCAGCUUGUUGGUGGGGUAGUGGCUUACCAAGGCUUUGACGGGUAGCCGGCCUGAGAGGGUGACCGGCCACAUUGGGACUGAGAUACGGCCCAGACUCCUACGGGAGGCAGAAGUGGGGAAUAUUGCACAAUGGGCGGAAGCCUGAUGCAGCAACGCCGCGUGCGGGAUGACGGCCUUCGGGUUGUAAACCGCUUUCGCCUGUGACGAAGCGUGAGUGACGGUAAUGGGUAAAGAAGCACCGGAUAACUACGUG
Molecule: ribosomal RNA, 468 nt
Filed under: uncultured bacterium
Lineage: Bacteria
Description: partial 16S ribosomal RNA
Rfam family: Bacterial small subunit ribosomal RNA
Source: RNAcentral